UACGGAGGAUCCAAGCGUUAUCCGGAAUCAUUGGGUUUAAAGGGUCCGUAGGCGGUUUAAUAAGUCAGGGGGGAAAGCCCAUCGCUCAACGGUGGAACGGCCAUUGAUACUGUUAAACUUGAAUUAUUAGGAAGUAACUAGAAUAUGUAGUGUAGCGGUGAAAUGCUUAGAGAUUACAUGGAAUACCAAUUGCGAAGGCAGGUUACUACUAAUGGAUUGACGCUGAUGGACGAAAGCGUGGGUAGCGAACAGG
RNAcentral lists this ribosomal RNA (253 nucleotides) under uncultured bacterium. RNAcentral describes it as "partial 16S ribosomal RNA". It matches the Rfam family "Bacterial small subunit ribosomal RNA", at positions 524 to 776 of the family's 1533-position model. The record is from RNAcentral.